Molecule: ribosomal RNA, 357 nt
Filed under: uncultured bacterium
Lineage: Bacteria
Description: bacterial SSU rRNA
Rfam family: Bacterial small subunit ribosomal RNA
Source: RNAcentral
AGUGAACGCUGGCGGCGUGCCUAACACAUGCAAGUCGUGCGCGAAAGGGAGCAAUCCUGAGUAAAGCGGCGAACGGUGAGUAACACGUGGUUAACCUGCCUGGAUGUGGGGGAUACCCCGGGGAAACUCGGGACAAUACCGCAUGAUGUCUCUCGGGCGUCGGCCCGGGAGAGCAAAGCCGGGGACCGCAAGGCCUGGCGCAUCCGGAGGGACCGCGGCCGAUUAGCUAGUUGGCGGGGUAAUGGCCCACCAAGGCGACGAUCGGUAGCCGGCCUGAGAGGGUGAUCGGCCACACCGGAACUGAGACACGGUCCGGACUCCUACGGAGGCAGCAGUGGGGAAUUUUGCGCAAUGGGC